RNAcentral lists this non-coding RNA (83 nucleotides) under Bacillus sp. (in: firmicutes). RNAcentral's name for it is "Bacillus sp. c-di-GMP sequence". It matches the Rfam family "c-di-GMP-I riboswitch aptamer". Rfam says of the family: GEMM was predicted in a large-scale screen for bacterial structured RNA regulatory elements. Genes associated with GEMM are involved in a diverse array of functions, including chemotaxis regulation, signal transduction, secretion and chitin. Lineage: Bacteria; Bacillati; Bacillota; Bacilli; Caryophanales; Bacillaceae. The record is from RNAcentral.
AAUAGAAAACGGCAAACCUCUCGAAAGGGUGGGACGCAAAGCUACAGGUCUAAAGUGCUAACUAUGACGGCUGAGUUGCCUAA